AAGAUGAAAAAUGAAAUUGAAGAAAAGUUCAAUUAUAUGAGUCUCUGGCUGUGCAGAAAUUCACAUUACAUUUUGAAUAUAUUCUAAUAGUUCAAUUCAAAUCUUCUGUUAUAUCGGCAAUAAACAGAAAUUAGUAUUAUUAAAACAAUUUGAAAAGAUUCCGAGUUGAAUUCGUUAUAGCCCACUUCCUAGAUCUUCACAAUUAAUCGUGCAAUUUCCAAAAUCCAGCUUGAUCCCACGUCUCGACGGCUUCUCGCCGCCAAAUUCGGGUGCAGUACAUGUAACUUUUGCAGUGUUUAAGUGAGAAUCGAAAUGCACCACAAUCCGGCAACAGUAGAGGAACAGUUGAUACUGAAAGCAAUAAGAGAAGAAUGCCCAUGGGAGAAUCUUCCCAAGCGCCUUCAAACUACCUUGAGUUCUAAAGAAGAAUGGCAUAGGAGGAUAAUUGAAUACUGCAUAAAGAAACGACUCCAAUGGAACACUUGUUUUGCUCGCAAAGUAGGCAAAGAAGGUGAAUACUAUGAAGAUAUGAUGCGCUAUUUGCGAAGGAACCUAGCAUUGUUUCCCUACCAUCUUGCAGAGUAUGUUUGCCGUGUUAUGAGGAUUUCACCUUUCAAAUAUUACUGCGACAUGAUAUUCGAAGUUAUGAAAAAUGAGCAACCUUAUGACAGCAUCCCUAAUUUUAGUGCUGCUGAUGCCUUGCGGCUUACAGGGAUAGGAAGAAAUGAAUUUAUUGACAUAAUGAACAAGUGUAGAUCUAAGAAAAUUAUGUGGAAGCUUAACAAGUCAAUAGCAAGAGAACUCUUACCUACUGAACCUGUGGACUUUGCCAUUGAGCCGUGGUGGGGGGUUUGUCUGGUCAACUUCACUUUGGAAGAAUUUAAGAAACUUUCAGAAGAAGAAAUGGCAACCAUUGAUAAAAUCUGCAAGGAGGAAGCAAAUUCAUUCAUCCUUUUUGAUCCUGAAAUUGUCAAGGGACUUUUUCGACGGGGACUCGUCUACUUUGAUGUUCCAGUCUAUCCUGAUGAUCAUUUUAAAGUUUCCAGGCUUGAAGGAUUUGUUUCAAACAGGGAGCAGUUAUAUGAAGAUCCCAUUGAAGAGUUGCUUUAUGCUGUAUUUGUGGUAUCAAGUGAGAAUUCCACUGUUGCUGAACUGGCAACAACAUUACAGGCUGAUCUCUCUCAGCUGCAGGCUGCUGCAUCAUUUGCUUGUCGGUUGGGAUGGGCAGUAAAAAUAAUAGACCCUGCUUCUAUUCUUCAAGAAUCAAGUAUGCCUGGCAGUCCUAAAAGUCUUCUCAGUGAGGAAGAAGAAGGUUCCCUUGCUAGUAUGGGCUCCGCCAACCUGUCCACCGAUGGUGGCACCACUCAACAAGGAGAUAUUUUAUGGACAGAAAACUAUAGUCCAGCUGCUGAUUAUUCUCGUGUUGCUUUUGUUGUUGAUGCUAAUAUAACGUCUUAUCUUAUGAUGGGAUCUGUUUCACCAGGUCUUAAAUCUCAUGCUGUCACGUUGUACGAAGCAGGAAAACUUGGUAAUGCUAGCAUUGCAGAUCUUUGCAGGGAUCUAAGUACACUAGAGGGAACCAGAUUUGAAGGAGAAUUGCAGGAAUUUGCCAAUCAUGCAUUCAGCCUCCGGUGUGUCCUGGAAUGUCUAACGUCAGGUGGUGUUGUUACUGACGAGGAGGCUAGUUCUUUGACAUCUGAUGUUUCUUUGGUCAAUAAAUGUGGAGGUACUGGCACAAACGAAUCUCGGUCAAAUAUUGAGGAUUCUUUGGAUUCAAGGAUGACCAAAGAAGAUUAUGAUUCUGCUGAACUGUCAACUGGAAGUACUGGUGAUGAAGAGUUAUUUGCUAGCGUACCCAAGGAGAUUAAUCAUUCUGGGGAUUCCAAAUCAGAUCUUCAUGUACCAAAUGAUGAAAACUCAUAUUCCGUUGAAGGUUUAAAUGCUGGAAAAGAGAUGGCAAAGAAAAAGAGAAAAUACCGAGUGGAUAUUCUUCGUUGUGAAAGCUUGGCUGCUCUUCCACCAGCAACUUUAGAUCGUCUAUUUCUCCGUGACUAUGAUAUUAUCACGUCCAUGGUUCCACUUCCUCAUUCUUCUGUUUUACCUGGACCAAAAGGCCCCAUUCAUUUUGGCCCUCCUUCUCAUUCUUCUAUGACUCCCUGGAUGAAAAUGGUCCUGUAUUCUGCUGUAGGCUGUGGACCUCUUUCUGUAGUUUUGAUGAAAGGUCAAUGUUUGAGAUUGCUUCCUGCACCAUUAGCUGGUUGUGAGAAAGCCCUUGUAUGGUCUUGGGAUGGAUCUACAGUUGGGGGUUUGGGAGGGAAAUUUGAAGGGAAUUUAGUUAAAGGAAGCAUACUGUUACAUUGUUUGAAUUCACUUCUCAAAUACUCUGCUGUGCUGGUGCAACCUUUUAGCAGGUAUGACCUUGAUGAUAGUGGAAAACUUGUUACUUUAGAUGUUCCAUUACCUUUGAAGAACUCUGAUGGUUCAAUAGCAACAAUAGGAGAGGAACUGAAGUUAGAUUCACUUUUAAGUAGUAUUUCAAACAGAAUAAAUUUGUGGAGCAUCGGAUAUAUUAGCUUAUUAAGACUUUUUAAAGAACAAGAAUCAGAAAAAUUUUCAGUUGAUGGUGACAAGUAUGAGUGGGUUCCAUUAAGCGUGCAAUUUGGUAUUCCUCUUUUUAGUCCAAAAUUAUGUAAAGAUAUAUGUAGAAGAGUGGUUUCAUCUCAGUUACUUCAAACAGAAUUACUGACGGAGCAUCAUAGUGCAAUGCAAGACUUGAGGAAAAGGUUGCACAAUGUUUGCGCUGAGUACCAAGCAACUGGUCCAAUUGCGAGACUUCUUUACCAGAGAGAGCAGCCAAAGGAUUCAUCUCGACAACUGAUAACUUAUGCUAGCAGAAGAUGGAACCCGCUUACAGAUCCUUCUUCUCCUGUAUCUGGAGCCUUAAGUGAGCACCAGAGACUGAAACUUGCUAACCGACAGCGUUGCAGCACGGAAGUUCUGAGCUUUGAUGGUAAUAUACUCAGAUCAUAUGCUCUGGCUCCUGUUUAUGAGGAUGCCACUCGACCCAUUGAAGAUUCCGCUUCCGUAGGUACUGCAAAAGUUGAAUCGGAGGAUACUGAAAGCGCUGAAGUAAUUCUUCCUGGUGUAAAUCUUCUUUUUGAUGGAUCUGAAUUGCGACCUUUCGAUAUAGGUGCUUGCUUGCAGGCUCGUCAGCCUGUCUCCUUAAUAUCCGAGGCCUCUGCAGCAUCUGCUGCUUCUACAAUCAAUUAAGGUUUUGGACUUAAUCUGUCAAUGUUAUAGAUGGAUGCUUUUCUUUUCUCAUUUCCCGGUAGAGAAGAUAGUGUGCAUCAUGUUGUUAUUCACCGCUGCUGAUUCAUUGAUUCUUGCCCAUCUAUUGGUUGAUUGUUAGCAUAAGAUACGUCAGUUCUUGAGGAGGUGAUUUGGAUUUGUCGUACUGUCGUUUUUCUACAGUGAUUUAUUUUAUGCUGAGAGAGAGAUUCAAUACUAAUUUUGUAAUACAGUAUGGAUGAAAACAAUUCAAAACUAUCAAAAGUAUCCAUAUUGCUAUGAAAUGAUGAAAUGGUGAUAUAUUUAUGUUAAACACUUAUCUGUAUUUGUCAUGCUAAACAGGAACAACGUUUGGAGAAACAGAACUUUUGUUGAGUGUAGAUCUUGUGACGUGAUUUGUUAUGAACAAAUUAUAGGCGACAAGAAUAUUUGUCGACUUGGCUUCCGCUGUUUGUUAUCAAGUUGAUAAAAUUGGGAAUUUUGAA
Olea europaea var. sylvestris is the source of this 3773-nucleotide RNA transcript. It is a transcript of the gene named protein FAM91A1, with no coding region annotated. NCBI's taxonomy places the organism in Eukaryota, Viridiplantae, Streptophyta, Magnoliopsida, Lamiales, Oleaceae. The transcript is spliced from 12 exons. The record is from RefSeq and is a predicted model, not a curated record.